RNAcentral lists this ribosomal RNA (427 nucleotides) under uncultured bacterium. RNAcentral describes it as "bacterial SSU rRNA". It matches the Rfam family "Bacterial small subunit ribosomal RNA", at positions 358 to 782 of the family's 1533-position model. The record is from RNAcentral.
GGAAUAUUGGUCAAUGGGCGCAAGCCUGAACCAGCCAUCCCGCGUGCAGGAAGACGGCGCUAUGCGUUGUAAACUGCUUUUCCAGGGGAAGAAAACCCGCUACGUGUAGCGGCUUGCCGGUACCCUGGGAAUAAGCAUCGGCUAACUCCGUGCCAGCAGCCGCGGUAAUACGGAGGAUGCAAGCGUUAUCCGGAUUUAUUGGGUUUAAAGGGUGCGUAGGCGGAUUAAUAAGUCAGUGGUGAAAACCUUCAGCUUAACUGGAGAACUGCCAUUGAUACUGUUAGUCUUGAGUACGGUCAAGGUAGGCGGAAUGUGUAAUGUAGCGGUGAAAUGCUUAGAUAUUACACAGAACACCGAUUGCGAAGGCAGCUUACUGGGCCAUUACUGACGCUGAUGCACGAAAGCGUGGGGAGCGAACAGGAUUAGA